GACGAACGCUGGCGGCGUGCCUAAUACAUGCGAGUAGAACGCUGAAGGAGGAGCUUACUUCUCUGGAUGAGUUGCGAACGGGUGAGUAACGCGUAGGCAACCUGCCUGGUAGCGGGGGAUAACUAUUGGAAACGAUAGCUAAUACCGCAUAAGAGUAGAUGUUGCAUGACAUUUACUUAAAAGGUGCAAUUCCACCACUACCAGAUGGACCUGCGUUGUAUUAGCUAGUUGGUGGGGUAACGGCUUACCAAGGCGACGAUACAUAGCCGACCUGAGAGGGUGAUCGGCCACACUGGGACUGAGACACGGCCCAGACUCCUACGGGAGGCAGCAGUAGGGAAUCUUCGGCAAUGGACGGAAGUCUGACCGAGCAACGCCGCGUGAGUGAAGAAGGUUUUCGGAUCGUAAAGCUCUGUUGUAAGAGAAGAACGAGUGUGAGAGUGGAAAGUUCACACUGUGACGGUAUCUUACCAGAAAGGGACGGCUAACUACGUGCCAGCAGCCGCGGUAA
RNAcentral lists this ribosomal RNA (511 nucleotides) under uncultured bacterium. Its description in RNAcentral is "partial 16S ribosomal RNA". It matches the Rfam family "Bacterial small subunit ribosomal RNA", at positions 28 to 523 of the family's 1533-position model. The record is from RNAcentral.